Molossus molossus (Pallas's mastiff bat) is the source of this 138-nucleotide small nuclear RNA. RefSeq annotates it as U4 spliceosomal RNA. NCBI's taxonomy places the organism in Eukaryota, Metazoa, Chordata, Mammalia, Chiroptera, Molossidae. The record is from RefSeq and is a predicted model, not a curated record. The transcript has a single exon.
AACUUUGCGCAGUGGCAGUAUCGUAGCCAAUGAGGUUUAUCCGAGGCGCAAUUAUUGCUAAUUGAAAACUUCCCAAUACCCCGCCAUGACGACUUGAAUAUAGUCAGCAUUGGCAAUUUUUGACGGUCUCUACGGAGA